RNAcentral lists this long non-coding RNA (219 nucleotides) under Homo sapiens (human). Its description in RNAcentral is "LHRI_LNC359.1". The record is from RNAcentral. Lineage: Eukaryota; Metazoa; Chordata; Mammalia; Primates; Hominidae.
GCUGCAGGCGGCGGCGGUGGAGACCCGACGAGAUCCGCUCUCCUUCCCGCCCUGGACCCUCAGCCUGACGAGAGGCUGGGCAGAAACUCGCGAUCCCCAGGCCCUGCCUGUGCACCAGCGGCUGGCGCCAGGCCAAUGACAGUACGGGAGAGGGCAACUCUCCCGGCCGCCACGGUGGGGGCCGGAACUUCCUGCACUGCAGCCUCGCAGGUCAUUUCC